Long non-coding RNA from Anolis carolinensis (green anole), 4593 nucleotides. RefSeq lists it as uncharacterized. The transcript has 3 exons. Lineage: Eukaryota; Metazoa; Chordata; Lepidosauria; Squamata; Anolidae. The record is from RefSeq and is a predicted model, not a curated record.
AACGGUUGGGAGUGAGGUUCAAAAUGUGUGAUUGACGUGCGGUUCGGCCAAUAGAUGUGGAGGAAAUGUCAGACCGACGUGGCGCUGUGGCCAAUGAACGGCGAGAAAGUGGCCAGCGAGGAGAACCUCUGUGUUCUGUUUCUUCUUGUUCAAACCAAGCGGGCAGGCUCCUAAUUGGUCAAACGAGGGAACUAAGCCCGCCUAGCUGACAGGGGAAGCAGCUCAUUAGGGCAGAGGGAGUUCGGAAGAAAUGUAUUGCAUUUAUAUAUAUCCUUAUUAAAAGUUCUGUAACUUCAACUAACUUCUGUAACUUUAACUAAAACUUAAUUUUCGAGUAUUUCAGGGUACGUCUACACUGCAUAAUUAACGCAGUUUGGUACCACUUUAACUGCUAUGGCGCAAGGCUAUGGAAUCCUGGGAGCUGGAGUUUAAUGAGGCAGAGAGGGUGGAAGCUUUCUAGAACUACAGCUGACAGGAUUCCAUAGCAUUGAGCCAUGGCAGCUGAAGUGGUACCAAACUGAGUUAAUUCCUCAGUGUGGAUGGUCUCAAAGAUCUGAUCAAAACAGACUUAGGAUUGUUGAUGCUUGUCUCCCCCAAAAAGCCAAGAGAAGAAAACUCAAAAAGAUAUUUUUCAUAAAGUGCAUCAGGUCUGAAAGAACUGCUGAAGCAAAGGAGAAAAUUCAAGGCUCUCCUUUAGGUCAUCUGUCUGCCAAUUGAAUAGUAGGAGCUGUUGCCAUGUCACCUGAUUGGGACAGAACAAACUGCAGCCUUCCAGAUACUACUGUUACACAGCUCCCAUCUACUCUAAAGAUGUCUAAUGAUGAGGAAUCUGGGGACUGUAGUCCAGCAUUUCCUGGAGAGCCACAUAAAAUGACAUGGCGGGCUGAAUUCAGCCUGUUGGCCUUAAGUUUGAAAUAUGUGCUGUAAGCUAUACCACACUGGAGUGCCUUGCAUUUUGGUCUUCUCAAACCUGGAGCUGUGCCUGAACUUAUUUCAUAUGUUGACUACCUGCAACAUCCUUUGCUGUUGGUUAAGGAAAAAAACCAGCAUUUUUAAAUAACCACUGACAAGGGAAAGCUUUCCUUUUGAGGAUUCCAGAUCAAUUAAGUCAAUGCUGAUUUUCCCCCUGUUCCCUUCCCUGAACAUCAUUCCCAUCACUGCCUAUUUGUGAAUGUCUCAGAGAUGGGAUGAAGAACAGUCCCCAUCAUCAUAUCCUCAUGCAGCACACAGCAGCUUUUACUUGUGACCGUGAGUUAUUCCUCUACAGCCCUUUGCAUGUGGAGACUACAACUGCUCCAGAGAAGCAGUGGGGGAGACUGUAUUAGGUGAACUGCGGUAAGGGUGCCACGGGCUGCGCUAGAAAUCCCAAAGGGCCUAAUCAGCCCCCUGGAGUUUCAUGUUUGACAGCCCUGCUAUAAGUACGCUUGAAUAUUAAUGCAUUAGCAGGAGGGGGAGGACCCUAAGCACAGCCCGAACCCAGAUUAGCUGCCGGAGAAUACUAAUGAGAUGAUAUAUGCAAAUUGCUUGCUCAGGGAGAUAAUCUGGAAUGUUAAUGAGGUGUGGAGCCAGAUAUUAGUUCAGCCAGUCAUAUCUGAAGGAAAAGAUAAUCUCAAAUAUUAGUAAUAUUUAAUACAGGACAGGUAGCAUCGCAUCUCCAAGGCUAAGCACAUUGAAGAACACUGCUGUCUCAUAUGUGACAUUUUUUGCUGAAAGAACAGUUAGUGGGGAAGGAAAAACAUAUUUCAUCAUCAAUUGCUCGCCAAGGACUAUAGUGCAUAAUAGAAUAUGGCAGUGAAACCUGUUUAUAUUUGCAACAGCGAAAAAUCUAUCAACAUUUCUUUUAAAUGUUAGGUGCAUAAGUCUUUUGAAACAGGUUUGUUGGGUUCACAGGUUACAUUUGUAUGUAUGUACCUCUUAAAAAUAUGGCUAAUGGUACAAUCAUAAUUGAUGUAAGUAGAAGAAAUUCAGCAGAUCCGUCAGCUUUGUGCAAUAAUGAAGACUACUAUGUAGCUUUGUAAAAGAUGCCUCCAACAUAAAGAGAAAAGCAAAUGUCAAAAUCUCUGUCGUCCUUGAUCCCUCUCCAUAAAUAUGGAAAGCUGGAUUGAUUUUACUGCACCCUUUGAAAAUUAAAUCUUGGUGAGGUAUUCACAUCUUUGACAGAUUCAGUAAAAUCCUUAAAAUAAAUGUGAAGUAUUUAAACUUCUCAGCACUUCCCCAUUGUUAUUUUCAUGCAAGGAUGAUAUUAGGUCAAGUUGCUGCAGUUUCACCUUUCAUGAUGGUCAUUCAUAUUCUCAGUCCAACCUCCAACAGCAUCUUUCUGUUGUUUUCAGCAUUUUUUUUUGUUUCUUUCUUUCUAAAGAGACAACAACCCUGGAUAAACAGUGGCAUAUAGGCAUAUUUAUGUGUAUAAGUGUCAAAAUUUGUAAACGAACUUCCUUGGAACUGACAUAUAGUACUGGGACUAGAUGUGGGAAACUCAACUUCAGAUCAUAUGCAUCUUAAAUAACCAUUCCCAUCCACAUGUAUGGUACAAGAUUGUUCUAAAAAUAAAAAUGCUCUUGCAAUUGCAAAAUAAAAUAAUCAAUGGCAAGUUUUUAUUUAAUUUAGAGAUCAUUUCUUUCAUUUUCAAGCAAUUAUUACCAAUUAUUUAAUUUUUCAAGUUCCCAUUCCAGCGUAUGGGAAUCUUGAAUGUUCAGUUUCAUUGAUCUGAUGCUGUGACAGCUGUUUUUAGUCUUCUUUUUUUAAAAAAAAAUAGUAUUUAAAAACUAACAAAAAAUAAAAGUGCUAUCCUCUCUUACAUGUUAAUAAGAAAGGAGACAUCUAGAGAUGUCUACAUAACAAAGUGUCAUUGGACACAUGCAUAUGCCUUUUUGCUGUUUAAUUCACAGGAUGUGGAAUGGUUAGGACUUAGGACCCAUCUAAGCCAAGAGGAAUCAUAGGCUCCUCCUAAAGUCUCGUUUUUAGGCUUUUGGCCUUUUAAUUGAUACUAAGGGUAUGCAUAUCAUUUGAACAUCUUUUAGAAUACAUCCACUUACCACUUCUCAAAUAUUCAUUGUUUAUAGCAAUUAACUUUGAUUGAUGGUGUAUUCUCUUAUUUUGACCAACUGGAUUUAUGUAAAUGCCUUCUUGAUAGCAGGUAAUAAUUUGUUAAAUAAAUAAAUUGUUCAUGACGAAUUAACUUGGACAAAGGAUUUUUACUCUUGUUAGCUUCCAUUCGGUUUAAGUGGUAAAUGGAAGGAAAGCCAGGAACAUAUUCAUCUUUCAAGGGAUGCGUGUAUUUAUUUUUCCUCUUUAUUGGUAAGGACAGUUUCUCCUGUAUUUCUCAUGCAAGGUGAUCCCUAGAUAAGCCGCCACUGAAGAACCAUCAACAUAUAACACGGUCACUACUAAUCAUUAGAGAAAAAAGAUCCACAAGGAACAGCUGGAAACAUCUGUUUAUUGAAAAAACAAAAAUUACAGCAAGAGAAUCUUUAUAACAAAUGGAUCUGUCCCUUAAACAACAUCAACUCUUGCGCCUGUGGGAAUGUGACGUUUUGCUUAUAAAUGGAUGAAACCAGUUUGGUUUUCAUCUCAUCUGUAAUGUUUUUGUUUGCUUGCUAGCUGUACAUAGCAUAUGAUUUUACCCGAUAAAGGCUGCAGUCCUGUACACACUUCCCUGAAGUCAACCCCGCUGAACACAGUGGAAUUUACUUCUGAGUAAAUAGCCAUAGGGUUAUACUGUUAACCAGAUGCUCAGAAGGUUGUGUAAAAUAUUAUUUUUGAACAUGAGAAAGAAGCAGGGGAAAGCAAGAUAUGUGAGGGACCGUUCUGUAACUCUUCAUUUUCUUAACAUUUUGUUUCAAAGCAACAGGUUUAACUACUAUGCUGGACACCAGGGAAAGUUUGCUUAACUUAUUCAGUCUUCCUGUAUUUUCCAAAGGAUGUGCCAAUUUUUUAUUUGUAAAUUAAAUAGAACAGAAAAAUUAAGGAACUGCCCACCGUGUGCAGUUUUCUAGAAGAAAGCUUGUUCUCAUGACUUUGUCCCUAUCUCAAUGUAUAAAAAUUGCUAUCCCAAACUUUGCCAGCAGUGGGAGUUUCUAAGUGAUCCAAAUCCACACAUAAGCAACGGUCUCCAGUGUUAAAACAGUAGAGAGUAAUGUUGGUACAUGGAUUUGGAAGCCGAGGUGAGAAAAGGACUAAGGAGAAUUACCUUUGAGCCAUCAUCAAGCAAUAGUUUCGGAAAGGAAUUCACAUAUUUUACAUUUCCUGAAAGUAUUACUGGGAGAACAUCUGAAAGAGACAAUGGACUGUAUGAGCAAGUACCGGAAGCCUCUUGGUUAUGGACAGGCUUUCUAGGUCAAGUUAUUCAUGCUUUCCUUCAAGAGGUCUGGAAACCAUAUUCUGACCCUGACCUGAAAUGGCUUUGUAGAGUUUCUCAGCUGUUCUCUACGAUUUUUUUUAUAUAUAAAAAGAUCAGAACUGCUACUGCUGAAAUGUUGUUUUCCUCACCUCCAUUCCAGAAAUCUCUAUGCUGAUUCAUAUACUACAAUUUUCCUAUUCUAAAACAAUCUCUGUACCAUGUUAGAAGAGUAAUAAAGUGAUUUGCACACUGAA